GCAAUAUGACCUCAUCCUCUUUUUAAAUAUCCAUUAUUUUAAUUCAUCAUUUGUUUCUCCUACUUCCAAUAUUAUCUUGUAAAUCGAUCAAUGUACUCUUGUAAUGUCUUUUUCUUAUUUUGUGUAAUCCCGCUAAGUACGUCCAUUAUGGUUGGUUAUCGCUUUCAAACAGUAAACAGUCACAUAGUUCCUUCCAUGAAUCUAUGAUUUCGUCUAGAAGGAUUUUAAAUUAGGUCAUAGUAGCUCCCAUAAUGGUUAACGCGAAGAUUUUGUGUAUCAUAAUUUCUUGGGUGUGAUAAUAAUCCAAUAUAUUGUCCACAUAUUUAGUGUAUUCGUUCGGAUCCGUCAUACCUCCCUAACUUUCUAACUUUAGGGGAUUUUUAAAGGAUCUCGAGAUCCCACUGUCAAGAAUGUAUAUGGAGAGCGGAUUUCUCUCUCAACUAGAGGUCGGUGUAUACGUGACAUGCCUUUCUCUUCUCCGUAAGUGGUGUGCUGGCGUGCUACAUGAACAACAAACUUUCGGUGGAGUAUGAUUGUCUCUUCUCUCUCUAAAGUCAGGUGGAGAAAUCUAAUGUCCUCUAUUUCAGUUGCGACUUGGUGAUAACAGUUGUUGGAAACAUUGCUGCCAAGGAUGUGUUUCCUAAACGAUAUCAUUUGUAUAACUUUUAGUAUCUUAA
RNAcentral lists this long non-coding RNA (677 nucleotides) under Lathyrus oleraceus (garden pea). Its description in RNAcentral is "Pisum sativum (pea) long non-coding RNA (PSAT_LNC035173)". Lineage: Eukaryota; Viridiplantae; Streptophyta; Magnoliopsida; Fabales; Fabaceae. The record is from RNAcentral.